RNAcentral lists this ribosomal RNA (619 nucleotides) under Escherichia coli. RNAcentral describes it as "partial 23S ribosomal RNA". It matches the Rfam family "Bacterial large subunit ribosomal RNA", at positions 570 to 1191 of the family's 2925-position model. Lineage: Bacteria; Pseudomonadati; Pseudomonadota; Gammaproteobacteria; Enterobacterales; Enterobacteriaceae. The record is from RNAcentral.
GCAGUGGGAGCCUCUUAAUGGGGUGACUGCGUACCUUUUGUAUAAUGGGUCAGCGACUUAUAUUCUGUAGCAAGGUUAACCGAAUAGGGGAGCCGAAGGGAAACCGAGUCUUAACUGGGCGUUAAGUUGCAGGGUAUAGACCCGAAACCCGGUGAUCUAGCCAUGGGCAGGUUGAAGGUUGGGUAACACUAACUGGAGGACCGAACCGACUAAUGUUGAAAAAUUAGCGGAUGACUUGUGGCUGGGGGUGAAAGGCCAAUCAAACCGGGAGAUAGCUGGUUCUCCCCGAAAGCUAUUUAGGUAGCGCCUCGUGAAUUCAUCUCCGGGGGUAGAGCACUGUUUCGGCAAGGGGGUCAUCCCGACUUACCAACCCGAUGCAAACUGCGAAUACCGGAGAAUGUUAUCACGGGAGACACACGGCGGGUGCUAACGUCCGUCGUGAAGAGGGAAACAACCCAGACCGCCAGCUAAGGUCCCAAAGUCAUGGUUAAGUGGGAAACGAUGUGGGAAGGCCCAGACAGCCAGGAUGUUGGCUUAGAAGCAGCCAUCAUUUAAAGAAAGCGUAAUAGCUCACUGGUCGAGUCGGCCUGCGCGGAAGAUGUAACGGGGCUAAACCAUG